RNAcentral lists this unclassified non-coding RNA (430 nucleotides) under Hevea brasiliensis (rubber tree). The record is from RNAcentral. Lineage: Eukaryota; Viridiplantae; Streptophyta; Magnoliopsida; Malpighiales; Euphorbiaceae.
GGGAAGCUAACUUGUCUAAACAGCCGGCGAGGAAGAAAGGGAGAGAGCAAACGGAGAAGAGAAUGAAGUUUGCUGUAAAGGCAUGGAGCAACGGCGGCAAAGCUCGAUCUGGGGUUCUUCAGCUAGGAAGCUGUCCACACAAUAUUGAGACACCUGCUCUUCUCCUCACAACUCGUAAAGGCUUGCCCGUUUACAUCCCUCCUGAUCAUCUCCCUUCUCUCCCUUCCCCGGAUUCUAACCUACUCCACUUCAGUCCUCUUCACUUCUUGGAAGGCAUUUCCCUGAAAGCAAUCUCAAACAUUGGAGGGCUGCACCCAUUGCUAGGGUUACAUGAUCAUAUAAUGGUAGCUGUGCCAAGGGAUUCUAUUAUAUCUAUUCCAGAUCAUGAUAGUACUAACAGGAUCGGAGCUUCCUUUGAAACUCCUUGUGG